Molecule: ribosomal RNA, 479 nt
Filed under: Amylobacillus thermophilus
Lineage: Bacteria; Bacillati; Bacillota; Bacilli; Caryophanales; Bacillaceae
Description: bacterial SSU rRNA
Rfam family: Bacterial small subunit ribosomal RNA
Source: RNAcentral
GACGAACGCUGGCGGCGUGCCUAAUACAUGCAAGUCGAGCGGACGAUUCAAAAGCUUGCUUUUGNAUCGUUAGCGGCGGACGGGUGAGUAACACGUGGGCAACCUGCCUGUAAGACUGGGAUAACUUCGGGAAACCGAAGCUAAUACCGGAUAAGACCUUUGCUCGCAUGAGUGAAGGUUGAAAGAGGGUUUUUGCUCUCACUUACGGAUGGGCCCGCGGCGCAUUAGCUAGUUGGUGAGGUAACGGCUCACCAAGGCGACGAUGCGUAGCCGACCUGAGAGGGUGAUCGGCCACACUGGGANUGAGACACGGCCCAGACUCCUACGGGAGGCAGCAGUAGGGCAAUCUUCCGCAAUGGACGAAAGUCUGACGGAGCAACGCCGCGUGAGCGAAGACAGGCCUUCGGGUCGUAAAGCUCUGUUGUUAGGGAAGAACAAGUAACGUAGUAACUGGCGUUACGAUGACGGUACCUAACGAG